RNAcentral lists this ribosomal RNA (429 nucleotides) under Actinomycetes bacterium. RNAcentral describes it as "Actinobacteria bacterium partial 16S ribosomal RNA". It matches the Rfam family "Bacterial small subunit ribosomal RNA", at positions 355 to 776 of the family's 1533-position model. The record is from RNAcentral. Lineage: Bacteria; Bacillati; Actinomycetota; Actinomycetes.
UAGGGAAUCUUCCGCAAUGGGCGAAAGCCUGACGGAGCAACGCCGCGUGAGUGAUGAAGGUCUUCGGAUCGUAAAACUCUGUUAUUAGGGAAGAACAAAUGUGUAAGUAACUAUGCACGUCUUGACGGUACCUAAUCAGAAAGCCACGGCUAACUACGUGCCAGCAGCCGCGGUAAUACGUAGGUGGCAAGCGUUAUCCGGAAUUAUUGGGCGUAAAGCGCGCGUAGGCGGUUUUUUAAGUCUGAUGUGAAAGCCCACGGCUCAAACGUGGAGGGUCAUUGGAAACUGGAAAACUUGAGUGCAGAAGAUGAAAGUGGAAUUCCAUGUGUAGCGGUGAAAUGCGCAGAGAUAUGGGGGAACACCAGUGGCGAAGGCGACUUUCUGGUCUGUAAAUGACGCUGAUGUGCGAAAGCGUGGGGAUCAAACAGG